AUUGAACGCUAGCGGGAUGCUUUACACAUGCAAGUCGACCGAGUGGCGGACGGGUGCGUAAUAUAUCGGAACGUGCCCAGUAGCGGGGGAUAACUACUCGAAAGGGUGGCUAAUACCCCAUACUAUUGGAGCGGCCGAGAUCGGAUUAGCUAGGUGGUGGGAUAAAGGCUCACCAAGGCAACGAUCCGUAGCUGGUUUGAAAGGACGACCAGCAACACUGGGACUGAGACAGUGCCCAGACGCCUACGGGAGGCAGCAGUGGGGAAUUUUGGACAAUGGGGGAAACCCUGAUCCAGCCAUCCCGCGUGUAUGAGAAGGCCUUCGGGUUGUAAAGUACUUUUGGCAGAGAAGCGGUAUCUGCAGAAUAAGCACCGGCUAACUACGUGCCAGCAGCCGCGGUAAUAC
This 405-nucleotide ribosomal RNA is filed under the name uncultured bacterium. RNAcentral's name for it is "partial 16S ribosomal RNA". It matches the Rfam family "Bacterial small subunit ribosomal RNA", at positions 30 to 526 of the family's 1533-position model. The record is from RNAcentral.